UAGUGAGUUUGAUCCUGGCUCAGAACGAACGCUGGCGGCGUGCCUAACACAUGCAAGUCAAACGGGUAGCAAUACCAGUGGCGCACGGGUGAGUAAUGCAUGGGUAAUCUGCCUAAGAGUGGGGGAUAACUACGCGAAAGUGUAGCUAAUACCGCAUACGGAGCAUCGAUGCUUUCGAUGCUCGAAACGUGGGGACCGCAAGGCCUACGGCUCUAUGAUGAGCUCAUGUCCCAUUAGCUUGUUGGCGGUGUAACAGCCCACCAAGGCGAAGAUGGGUAGCUGGUCUGA
Molecule: ribosomal RNA, 288 nt
Filed under: uncultured bacterium
Lineage: Bacteria
Description: partial 16S ribosomal RNA
Rfam family: Bacterial small subunit ribosomal RNA
Source: RNAcentral